AUAACGAGCGCAACCCUAUCAUAGUUGCCAUCAGGUCAAGCUGGGGACGUCUAAUGAAAACUGCCUACGCAAGUAGUGAGGAAGGUGGGGAUGACGUCAAGUCAUCAUGGCCCUUAUGUCCAGGGCGACACACGUGCUACAAUGGCCGGCACAACGGGAAGCGAAGGGGCGACCCUGAGCGGAUCCCCAUAAAAAGCCGGUCCCAGUUCGGAUUGCAGUCUGCAACUCGCCCUCAUGAAGCUGGAAUCCGUAGUAAUCGCGUUUCAACAGAACGCGGUGAAUACGUCCCUGCUCCUU
Molecule: ribosomal RNA, 297 nt
Filed under: uncultured Thermovirga sp.
Lineage: Bacteria; Thermotogati; Synergistota; Synergistia; Synergistales; Thermovirgaceae
Description: partial 16S ribosomal RNA
Rfam family: Bacterial small subunit ribosomal RNA
Source: RNAcentral